Molecule: ribosomal RNA, 575 nt
Filed under: Alternaria sp. AKSHY
Lineage: Eukaryota; Fungi; Ascomycota; Dothideomycetes; Pleosporales; Pleosporaceae
Description: eukaryotic LSU rRNA
Rfam family: 5.8S ribosomal RNA (bases 196-349)
Source: RNAcentral
UCCGUAGGUGAACCUGCGGAGGGAUCAUUACACAAAUAUGAAGGCGGGCUGGAACCUCUCGGGGUUACAGCCUUGCUGAAUUAUUCACCCUUGUCUUUUGCGUACUUCUUGUUUCCUUGGUGGGUUCGCCCACCACUAGGACAAACAUAAACCUUUUGUAAUUGCAAUCAGCGUCAGUAACAAAUUAAUAAUUACAACUUUCAACAACGGAUCUCUUGGUUCUGGCAUCGAUGAAGAACGCAGCGAAAUGCGAUAAGUAGUGUGAAUUGCAGAAUUCAGUGAAUCAUCGAAUCUUUGAACGCACAUUGCGCCCUUUGGUAUUCCAAAGGGCAUGCCUGUUCGAGCGUCAUUUGUACCCUCAAGCUUUGCUUGGUGUUGGGCGUCUUGUCUCUAGCUUUGCUGGAGACUCGCCUUAAAGUAAUUGGCAGCCGGCCUACUGGUUUCGGAGCGCAGCACAAGUCGCACUCUCUAUCAGCAAAGGUCUAGCAUCCAUUAAGCCUUUUUUUCAACUUUUGACCUCGGAUCAGGUAGGGAUACCCGCUGAACUUAAGCAUAUCAAUAAGCGGAGGAAAGGG